This 530-nucleotide ribosomal RNA is filed under the name Didymella macrostoma. RNAcentral describes it as "eukaryotic LSU rRNA". The stretch from base 180 to 333 matches the Rfam family "5.8S ribosomal RNA". Lineage: Eukaryota; Fungi; Ascomycota; Dothideomycetes; Pleosporales; Didymellaceae. The record is from RNAcentral.
CGGGGGGGGGGUGUCGUAGGUGACCUGCGGAGGAUCAUUACCUAGAGUUGUAGGCUUUGCCUGCUAUCUCUUACCCAUGUCUUUUAAGUACCUUCGUUUCCUCGGCGGGUUCGCCCGCCGAUUGGACAAUUUAAACCAUUUGCAGUUGCAAUCAGCGUCUGAAAAAACUUAAUAGUUACAACUUUCAACAACGGAUCUCUUGGUUCUGGCAUCGAUGAAGAACGCAGCGAAAUGCGAUAAGUAGUGUGAAUUGCAGAAUUCAGUGAAUCAUCGAAUCUUUGAACGCACAUUGCGCCCCUUGGUAUUCCAUGGGGCAUGCCUGUUCGAGCGUCAUUUGUACCUUCAAGCUCUGCUUGGUGUUGGGUGUUUGUCUCGCCUCUGCGUGUAGACUCGCCUCAAAACAAUUGGCAGCCGGCGUAUUGAUUUCGGAGCGCAGUACAUCUCGCGCUUUGCACUCAUAACGACGACGUCCAAAAGUACAUUUUUACACUCUUGACCUCGGAUCAGGUAGGGAUACCCGCUGAACUUAA